UUAGAGAAAGGACCGUUUGUUUCCAACAGCAUUAGCCAAAUAGUAUGCCUCUUCCUCGAGCCAAAAGCAGUUUUCAGAAACCCCUAAACUAAAACUUUGCUAACUAACAAAUGUGCUGUCUUAUUCCCCUCACGAAUUUGCAGGAUCUAAACGUCCCAAAGUUGGCCCAUCGUCGAUAAUUGUUUCUAGAGAGCUACUCUCGGUUCAGGGCUAGGAGGCUUUGCUGGUGUUAGCGAUUUGCAUUCCGUCAGAUUUCAAUUAGGUCUCAUGGAUUCAAGAAGGUUGGCAGCAUCCAGGUUUCAAAUCUCAGCUCAGUAAUGUUUGAAUCGUAAGAUGAAUGCUAAAAUAGAGUCGGCUUGUACCUAGUGUUGUAAUUUAGUUUUUGGAGUCAAUUAUGAUGCCUUGGUAUCUUCUAUGCUUCAAAAUAUUCAAGUUAAACGUGUUCAAUAAUCUAAAUGUUCGAUGAUAUGAUUAUGUGAUUAAGUUAAGAUGCAUGAUCUUAAA
Long non-coding RNA from Gossypium arboreum, 504 nucleotides. RefSeq lists it as uncharacterized. The transcript is spliced from 3 exons. The record is from RefSeq and is a predicted model, not a curated record. Lineage: Eukaryota; Viridiplantae; Streptophyta; Magnoliopsida; Malvales; Malvaceae.